CUAACCUGCACAAUGUGCACAUGUACCCUAAAACUUAAAGUAUAAUGAUAAUAAUUUAAAAAAAAGAAAAAAAAAAAGGAAAGAAGCACUGAAGAAGAUAGGACAGACAGUCUUGAAUUGCUGACAUCACCCCUCUCCCUCCCCCCAGCACUGGCCACGUGGCAUGGAGAGAGAAUAUGUGUGCUUUGGGGAGAGGGACUGCAGUGAUUGUGGGACUUUGCAUUGGAACUCAGCACUGCCCUGUCACAGUGGAAAGAAACCUAGGACAGAAUUUGGCCAGCACCUAUGAAGGAACAUUUAGGCCAGCCUUAGACAGAGGGGAAUCAUCCAUUCCAGUGGUUGGAACCUGAGUUCCAGCUAGCCCCCCCACCACAGGCUAAAGCACUCCGGGGUCCUAAAUAAACAUGAAAGUCAGUCUAGGCCACAAGGAUUGCAAUUCCUGGGCAAGUCCUGGUACUGUUCUGGGCUCAGAACAAGUGGACUUGGGGUACACACAACUCAGUGAGACACUAGAUGGGGCAGCCAAAGAAAUGCUUAAAUCACCCUUUUCCCAUUCCAAGACAAUGUAGCUUACAGGCCCAGGAGAGACUUCUUCCUUUUGCUUGAGGAAAGGAGAGAGGAGACUAAAGAGGACUGUCUUGCAACUUGGAUACCAGCUAAUCCACAGUAGAAGAGGUCACCAGGCAGUCGUGAGGCCUCCAUUCCAGGCCCUAACUCCCAGAUGACAUUUCUAGACAUACGCUAGGCCAGAAGAGAAACUGUUGUUGCCUUGAAGUAAAGGACCCAGUCCUAGCAGGAUUCGUCACCUGAUGACUAAAGAGCUGCUGAGCCUUGAAUAAACAUCAGCAGUAGCCAGGCAGUGGUCUCUGCAGGUCAGGCAAGACUCAAUGCUAUGCUGGCUUUGGCUCUGACACAGUGCAGGGCCAGUGGUGGUGGCCACAGGGGUGUUUGUGUCACCCCUCAACCAGCUCCACGUAGCCCAGCAUGGACAGAGAGAGAUACUCUGUUUGGGGGAAAAUAAAGGAAGAGAAAAAGUGUCUCUGCCUAGUAAUCCAGAGAAUUCUCCCAGAUCUUUCCCAAGACCACCAAGAUGGUACCUCUAUAAGUGUGCAAGAAUCACAAUGUUAUCAGGCCUGGGGUGCCCCAUAACACAGAUAAUAAAGACUUUCCCAGACAAACAGAAUCUGAGGGAUUUAAACACCAGUGACCAAAUAUUUAGAUUAUAAUACUCGAUUCCUUUUGAAUACUUAGAAAGCCUUCCCAAGAAGGAUGGGUACAAACAAGCUCAGACAGUGAAGACUAUAAUAAAUACCUAACUCUUCAAUGUCUAAACACUGAUGAACAUCCACAAGCAUCAAGACCAUCCAGGAAAACAUGAACUUACCAAACAAACUAAAUAAGGUACCAGUGACCAAUCCUGGAGUGACAGAGAGAUGUGAUCUUUCAGACAAAGCAUUCAAAAAUCAUGAGGAAACUCAAUGAAAUUUAAGAUAACUCAGAGAAGGAAUUAAGAAUCCUAUUAGAUAAAUUCAACAAAGAGAUUGAAAUAAUUUUUAAAAAUCAAGCUGAAUUUCUGCAGCUGAAAAAUGCAACUGAGAUACUGAAGACAUACAGAGUAUCUUAACAGCAGAACUGAUCAAGCAGAAGAAAGAAUUAGUGAGCUUGAAGACUGGCUAUUUGAAAAUACACAGUCAGAGGAGACAAAAGAAGAAAGAAUGAAGCAUGCCUACAAGAUCUGAAAAAAAAUAGCCUCAAAGGGGCAAAUCUAAGGAUUAUUGGCCUUAUAGAGGAGGUAGAGAGAAAAAUUAGGGUAGAGAUAAUAACAGACAACUUUCCAAAACUAGAGAAAGAUAUCAAUAUUCAAGUACAAGAAGGAUAUAGAACACAAAACAUCUUUAACUCAAAUUAGACUACCCCCAAAGCAUUAACAAUCAAACUCCCAAAGGUCAAGGAUAAAUAAAGGAUCCUAAAAGCAGCAAGAGAAAGGAAACAAAUAACAUACAAAGGAGCUCCAGUACAACUAGCAGCAGACUUCUCAAUAGAAACCUUACAGGCCAGGAGAGAGUGGCAUGACAUAUUUAAAGUGCUGAAGGAAAAAAAAAAUUAUCCUAGAAUAGUAUAUCAAGCAAAAGUGUCCUUCAAACCAAAAGGAGAAAUGAAGACUUUCCCAGACAAACAGAAGCUGAGGGAUUUAAACACCAGACCUGUCCUACAAGAAAUGCUAAAGGGAGCUCUUCAAUCUGAAAGAAAAGGAUGUUCGGGCAGAUCACAAGGUCAAGAGAUUGAGACCAUCCUGGCCAACAUGGUGAAACCCCGUCUCUAUUAAAAAUACAAAAAUUAGCUGGGCGUGGUGGUGCACGCCUGUAGUCCCAGCUACUCGGGAAGCUGAGGCAGAAUCACUUGAACCUGGGAGGUGGAGGUUGCAGUGAGCCGAGAUCGCACCACUGCACUCCGGCCUGGGCGACAGAGCGAGACUCCAUCUCAAAAAAAAAAAAAAAAAAAAGAAAAAAACAGAAAAAAAGAAAUCAUCUGAAGGCACAAAACUCACUGGUAAUAGUAAGUAAACAGAGAAACACAGAAUAUUAUAACUGAAAUUGUGGUGUGUAAACUACUUAUAUCUUGAGUAGAAAGACUAAAAGAUGAACCUAUCAAAAAUAAUAACUACAACAAUUUUUAAAGGCAUAGACAGUGUAAUAAGAUAUAAAUAGAAACAACAAAGAGUUAAAAAGUGGGGGAAGGAGAAUAAAGUUAAAAUGUAGAGUUUGUAUUAGUUUUCUCUUUGCUUGUUUGUAGUUUGUUUCUGCAAUCAGUGUUAGGUUGUCAUUAGUUUAAAAUAAUGAGUUUUAAGAUGUUAUUUAUAAACCUCAUGGCAACUUCAAAUCAGAGAACCUACAACAGAUACAUAAAAAAUAAAAAGCAAGAAAUUAAAACAUACCACCAGAGAAAACCACCUUCACAAAAAGGAAGAAAGGAAGGAAAGAAGGAAGAAAAGACCACAAAACAAUCAGAAAACAAAUAACAAAAUGGCAAAAGUAACUCCUUAUUCAUCAAUACUACCAUUGAAUGUAAAUGGACUAAACUCUCCAAUCAAGACACAUACAAUGGUUGAAUGGAUAAAUAAACAGGAUCCAACAAUCUGUUGCCUACAAGAAACACACUUCACCUAUAAAGACACACAUAGACUGAAAAUAAAGGGAUGAAAAAAGAUAUUCCAUGCCAGUGGAAACCAAAAAAGAGCAGCAGUAGCUUACGCUUAUAUCAGACAAAAUAGAUUUUAAGACACAAACUAUAAAAAGAGACAAAGAAAGUCAUUAUAUGAUAAUAAAGAGGUCAAUUCACCAGGCAUGGUGGCUCAUGCCUGUAAUUCCAGCACUUUGGGAGGCCUGGCAGAUCACUUGAGGCCAGGAAUUCAAGACCAGCCUGACCAACAUGGCAAAAACCCAUCUCUACUAAAAAUACAAAAAUUAUCUGGGUGUGAUGGCAUAUGCCUGUAAUCCCAGCUACUUGGGAAGCUGAGGCACAAGAAUCUCUUGAACCUGGGAGGCAGAGGUUGCAGUGAGCCAAGAUUGUCUCAGCCUGGGCAACAGGGUGAGACUCUGUCUCAAAAAAAAAAAAAAAAAAAAGUCAAUUCAGCAGAAAUUCUGGAACUGAGGACUGAAUAAUUCAUUAAAUGAAAUACAAAGCAACAUUCAGGCUGGGCACAGUGGCUCACACCUGUAAUCCCAGCACUUUGGGAGGCCGAAGCAGGUAGAUCACUUGAGGUCAGGAGUUCGAGACCAGCCUGGCCAACUUGGUGAAACCCUGUCUCUACUAAAAAUACAAAAAUUAGCCAAGCAUGGUGGUGGGUAUCUGUAAUCCCAGCUACUUGGAAGGCUGAGACAGGAGAAUCACUUGAACGUGGGAGACGGAGGUUGCAGUGAGCUGAGAUCAUGCCACUGCACUCCAGCCUGAGCAACAGAGCGAGACUCCAUCUCAAAAAAAAAAAAAAUUAUAACAUUCAAAAGCUUCAACAAUAGAUUAAAUCAAGUGGAAGAAAACAUCUCAGAACUUAAAGACAGGUCUUUUUAAAAUAUCCCAGUCAGGCAAAAAUGAAGAAAAACAUUAAAAAGAAUGAAACAAGUCUACAAGAUGUAUGAGACACCAUAAAGACCAAAUAUUUAUUUUCCAGUAUCCCAGAAGGCAAAGAAAAAAUGAAAGGUAUAGCAAACCUAUUUAAUGAAAUAAUAUCUGAAAACUGCCCAAGUCUAGCAAGAGAUUUAGACAUCCAGAAAACUCGACACGCAAAUCCAUAUAAUCUAAAAAAAUCUUCUCCACAGCACAUUAUAGUCAAACUGUCAAAAGUCAAAGACAAAGAGAGAAUUCUAAAAACAGCAAGAAAAGAAUGUUUUAUCACUUAUAAAAGAACCCCCAUAAGGCCUGGCAUGGUGGCUUAUGCUUGUAAUCCCAGCACUUUGGGAGGCUGAGGCGGGUGGAUCAUGAGGUCAGGAGAUCAAGACCAUCCUGGCUAACAUGGUGAAACCCUGUCUCUACUAAAAAUACAAAAACAAAACUAGCCAGGUGUGGUGGCAGGUGCCUGUAGUCCCAGCCACUCAGGAGGCUGAGGCGGGAGAAUGGUGUGAACCUGGCAGGCGGAGCUUGCAGUAAGCCAAGAGCGCGCCACUACACUCCAGCCUGGGCGACAGAGCGAGACUCCGUCUCAAGAAAAAAAAAAAAAAUACCAUAAGACUAAGCAGACUUCUCAGCAGAACCUUAUAGGCCAGGAGAAAAUGGGAUGGUAUAUUCAAACCAUUCAAACCAAUGUUACAAAAAUUAGUAGCAUUUCUAUAUGCCAACAGUGAACAGCUGAAAAAGAAAUCAGACCAGGUGCAGUGGCUCAUGCCUGUAAUCCCAACACUUUGGGAGGCCGAGGCAGGAGGACCACCUGAAGUCAGGAGUUCAAGACCAGCCUAGCCAACAUGGUGAAACCCCAUCUCUACUAAAAUACAAAAAAUUAGCUGGGUGUGGUGGCUCGUGCCUGUAAUAAAUCCCCGCUACUUGGGAGGCUGGGGCAGGAGAACUGCUUGAACCUGGGAGGCAGAGGUUGCAGUAAGCUGAGAUCACGCCCCUGCACUCCAGCCUGGGUGACAGAGUGAGAGUCUGUCUCAAAAAAAAAAAAAAAAAAAGAUUAAUGAUGAAAGGAAGAAAGGAAGAAAAUGAAGGAGGGAGGGAAGAUUACCCUCACUUGCAGGUUCUAUGCUGUUCCUGUAAUCCCAGUGCUUGGGGCCGUGUCUCCUUUGUUCUCUAGUAUUAGAUCCCGGAAGAACUACAGAAAGGCUGGCAUGAUAACUAGUGCUUGCCCUCCACCUUUGGGCUCUGGGACUGGCACCCACGCUCCCUGGACCAGACAGUAAAGCUGCAUUUCAACCUCAAAAUUGGCAUCAGACCCAGCCUCAAACAGCUGGCUCUGAACUCCAGGGCUCCUGCCACCCUAGGCUUGCUCCUAGAACUCUGAAGAGGAGCUGGUGGUCUGAUUAUUCCACAUUCUGCUCUUUUGGGAGCAAUCAUGGCACUUUGGCUGAGAAAUGUUAUAUUCAGACAUUUCAAGUUGAUGUGGCUGAAAAUUUUAACUUGAAAAAGAUAUUUCACACAUAUUAAUAAUAGUUCAUAGUUUCAAACAUGUUUAUUUCAAUAAAUAAUUAUAUAUGUGUAUAUGUGGGUGUGGUGUGGUUGGGCGUGUUUGUGUCUGUCUCCAUGUAUGCUGGAUUUAUCUACUUCUCAUUCAUUUUUGGUGAUGAUUAUUCUUCUAACACAACACUACAAAAAAUACCAGUGAAUCAUCAAUGAUUAACUUGUUGAAAAUAGUUUUCCUCUGGCUUCAUGAUUACCUGCUUCAAUAAAAUAAAAUAAUCACAGCAUUAUUUAAUUUCCUGACCCAACUACCAAAUUAAUCUAAAAUAAAACAAGUUACUAUAAUCCCCCAGUUUUCUUUAGACUAGCUGGACUUUUGGCAGUCAGAAUCACUUCAAAUCUGGAAGUAACAAAGAAAAGAAAAAGCAAAAUGUCUUUCUCUCCAGUAGAAAAAGAAGAACCCUCCCUGUUACAGGCUGUGACUUGUCAAUCUGCUCACAGACGUUAUGACACCCUCUUAUUGGCAGAGCUCCGAAAGUGCCAGCUGCUUCUCACUAAAGCCAAGAGGUGUGGAAGAAUAAAAGGGAAAAUGAAAUAAGAAAAAAGAGUAUAUUCACGGAAGAUCAUGAGAUCCCAGCACAAAUCCUGAUUCUACAGAUAGAUAUCUGUAUUAAAUCAUUUAAGCUCUCUGAGCCUCUGUUUCUUCAUCAGUAAAACAGGAAGAUAAUACUGUGCUACAGGGGCUUGAGGAGAUUAAUAAAAAACACAUGACAGUGUUUAGAACAGCUUCUGACCCAGUUGCACUCAAUAAAUAUUUCCUUAUUGUUGUGAUGACAAAUUAUUUUUUCUUUAGGCCUUUUAGACUUAAUUAGAAGUAGAGUGUCAUUAUAGAUAAUAGUAAAUCAUGUAGAAAGGUGUGUUUGAACUGUACUUGUAGACUACAAGUUGGGAACCCCUUAAUGUGAGGAAGGUUGACGUUAGAAGCCAACUAUGUACUAUUUUUUUUUCUUGAGACAGAGUUUCACUCUUGUUGCCCAGACUGGAGUGCAAUGGAACAAUCUCAGCUCACUGCAUUCUCUGCCUCCCAGGUUCAAGUGAUUCUCCUGCCUCAGCCUCCCAGAUAGCUGGUAUUACAGGCACCCACUACCAUGCCCGGCUAACUUUUGUAUUUUUAGUAGAGACGGGGUUUCAUCAUGUUGGCCAGGCUGGUCUCAAACUCCUGACCUCAGGUGAUCAGCCUCAGCCUCCCAAAGUGCUGGGAUUCCAGGUAUGAGCCACCGUGCCCGGCUUUAUGUACUGCUUAAGACAGAAAAAAUAGGUUUCAUUUUGAGUGACAACUCAGAUAAACUAGUAGUGGAUGCCUGAAGCACUAUGGUAGGAAGGAUCCUGAAGCUGAGUUUUAAAUCCAGAGCAAGAGAGAUGUAAUAGAUGGCAACACCUACCAUGACUGCAGAAGGGGAAGUGAUGGCUCAUGCCAUUCCUGAUAUUCUAUGCACAAAGGAUACAACUUCAAUGAGUUUUGUAGCCAGCCUCACAAGAGAAAUUCAGACAAGUAAUAAUAAUUAUUAAACCAAGAAAUAACUUAAGAAUCACUUCAUUUACAAAAAAAAUUCAGCACUGCUGCCAGUGCUCAGCACUCAUGUGGACCACAGCCCCGAGGACAGGUCUGUGACACCUUCUGCUGCAGCCACUGGCACCCACAUGUGCCACCCAGGGGCCCCACAGCCAACCUGCUGCCACUACUGCUACCAGUGGUGCCAUGCAUGCCAGCCAAGGGCCAAAGGCCUGUCUCCCAGCCCACCACUGCUACUCCCAGCACAUGAGGAUGCCAUCUGGAGGCUACAGAAUGUGCCCAUACAGGGCCUCCACCUCCACUAGCACCCACAUAUGCUUCCCAGGGGCAUGAAGACCAGUAUGCCUGUCUCACCAACACCACCACUGGUGCCUGAAGAUGGCUCACUUGGUGUCCCCAUCCCCAGCGAAGCCUCGCCACAGCCUCCACUAACAAGUUCAGCCUAAGUCAUCAAGGAACUCACAGACACCAAUGACACUGAUUACAGUGAAAGAAAUCAUAUGGAGACUACACUACUGUGCCCACUCAGAAUUGAAGCCAAAAUACCCAAUCCAACCAUCACUAUAGAUACAACUACAGGAAAAAUCUUUGCCUGCAAAAGCCAAUCCAUAAAAUUGGAAGAAGUGACUGUUGUACCAGAUGCACAGA
This 7828-nucleotide long non-coding RNA is filed under the name Homo sapiens (human). Its description in RNAcentral is "HSALNT0220237". The record is from RNAcentral. Lineage: Eukaryota; Metazoa; Chordata; Mammalia; Primates; Hominidae.